UACGUAGGGUGCGAGCGUUAAUCGGAAUUACUGGGCGUAAAGCGUGCGCAGGCGGUUCGUUGUGUCGGUGGUGAAAUCCCCGGGCUUAACCUGGGAACUGCAUUUGUGACUGCAUCGCUGGAGUGCGGCAGAGGGGGAUGGAAUUCCGCGUGUAGCAGUGAAAUGCGUAGAUAUGCGGAGGAACACCGAUGGCGAAGGCAAUCCCCUGGGCCUGCACUGACGCUCAUGCACGAAAGCGUGGGGAGCAAACAGG
Molecule: ribosomal RNA, 253 nt
Filed under: uncultured bacterium
Lineage: Bacteria
Description: partial 16S ribosomal RNA
Rfam family: Bacterial small subunit ribosomal RNA
Source: RNAcentral